Molecule: unclassified non-coding RNA, 237 nt
Filed under: uncultured fungus
Lineage: Eukaryota; Fungi
Description: sequence contains ITS2
Source: RNAcentral
AACGCACAUUGCGCCCCCUGGCAUUCCGGGGGGCAUGCCUGUUCGAGCGUCAUUACACCACUCAAGCCUGGCUUGGUAUUGGGGGCCGCAGGAGACUGCGCCCCUUAAAGUCACCGGCUGGACCGUCCAUCUCCACGCGUUGUGGCAACUAUCCGCGAGUGAGACUGGGCGAUCCGGCCGUUAAACCCCCUUUCAAAGGUUGACCUCGGAUCAGGUAGGGAUACCCGCUGAACUUAA